UCUUUUGCUCAGAUUUCCGGAUUAAUAUGGAAGGGGUAAACAGAUGAUUAGUUGUUUAUUUUUCGUUUACUUUACUCUGGUUUAGUGGUUUAACCUCACUUAACUAGAUAGAGUGAAAUAUUAAAUUACUAUUACUAUUAUUAUUCAGGUUGAAAAAUGCCUUCCUGUAAGGUAAAAGGUUGCGAAGUCGAUUGGGGAAAAAUAAUGUGAAAAUGAAUUCUUUCCCAAAAGAAUCUGAACGACGGAAAGUGUGGAUUAAAAAUAUAGGGUUAAAACAAGAUCCAAACAAAUAUGCUGUUGUUUGUGAAAAAAACUGUAAAUAGUAUUUAAGGCAACGAUUGUGAAUGAGUGAGAAGUCUAAUAAAGCCACGACGAGAUACUGUAUUAGAGCGUACGAUUUGGAGGUAUUUUUGAUUAGAUAAAUUUUGUAAAGUACAAUAUAAGUUAGAUUUGAUAAUGUGUAGUAUUUCCUAAUAAAUUAAAUACUAUUAAGUGUUUAUUGUUCUUGUAAGUUAGUGUGGUAAAUAAAUAAUAUGAAGUAAG
This 543-nucleotide unclassified non-coding RNA is filed under the name Diabrotica virgifera virgifera (western corn rootworm). RNAcentral describes it as "uncharacterized LOC126879735". The record is from RNAcentral. Lineage: Eukaryota; Metazoa; Arthropoda; Insecta; Coleoptera; Chrysomelidae.